Molecule: small nucleolar RNA, 128 nt
Organism: Apodemus sylvaticus (European woodmouse)
Lineage: Eukaryota; Metazoa; Chordata; Mammalia; Rodentia; Muridae
Product: small nucleolar RNA SNORA17
Exons: 1
Source: RefSeq, a predicted model, not a curated record
AAUUCACAGGCACUGCAAGUAUAGCUGCUCUGUCACAUUUGCUUCAAGAGGUGGCAGAGAGGAAAGAAGCUAUGUCUACUCUCAGUGUUCUGACCUAUGAACACCUGAAUGAUCAGUAGCCUGAGAUC